CAAAAAGACACCUAAUACACAGAUGAUGUAUCAUAUAAACAAACUAAGUGCUUUGGUAGAUGUAAAAACAGGUUGGAACUUAAGCUCAUGGCAAUGUUUUGAGCCACUCCAUUGUAAACAGGAAGAUAUGUAUAACUGUGGAGUGUACAUAUGCUUGUUUGCUCGAUGUCUAGCCCUUGGCUUGAAUCAAAAACCAGCAAACAUGGAGACUGAGAGAA
Molecule: long non-coding RNA, 218 nt
Organism: Xenia sp. Carnegie-2017
Lineage: Eukaryota; Metazoa; Cnidaria; Anthozoa; Malacalcyonacea; Xeniidae
Exons: 3
Source: RefSeq, a predicted model, not a curated record